This 409-nucleotide ribosomal RNA is filed under the name uncultured Staphylococcus sp. Its description in RNAcentral is "bacterial SSU rRNA". It matches the Rfam family "Bacterial small subunit ribosomal RNA", at positions 984 to 1393 of the family's 1533-position model. Lineage: Bacteria; Bacillati; Bacillota; Bacilli; Caryophanales; Staphylococcaceae. The record is from RNAcentral.
GGGUACCUUUUCAGCUCUAGAGAAGAGCCUUCCCCUUCGGGGGACAAAGUGACAGGUGGUGCAUGGUUGUCGUCAGCUCGUGUCGUGAGAUGUUGGGUUAAGUCCCGCAACGAGCGCAACCCUUAAGCUUAGUUGCCAUCAUUAAGUUGGGCACUCUAGGUUGACUGCCGGUGACAAACCGGAGGAAGGUGGGGAUGACGUCAAAUCAUCAUGCCCCUUAUGAUUUGGGCUACACACGUGCUACAAUGGACAAUACAAAGGGCAGCUAAACCGCGAGGUCAUGCAAAUCCCAUAAAGUUGUUCUCAGUUCGGAUUGUAGUCUGCAACUCGACUACAUGAAGCUGGAAUCGCUAGUAAUCGUAGAUCAGCAUGCUACGGUGAAUACGUUCCCGGGUCUUGUACACACCGA